CGGCGUGGAUUAGGCAUGCAAGUCGUACGCACAGCAAUGUGAGUGGCGCAAAGUGAGUAAUACGAAGGUAACCAACCCUGAAGUUGGGCAUAGCCGCGGGAAACUGCGGGUAAUUCCCAGCGACGUUGCGAGAUGGCAUCAUCUUGCAACCAAAGGUGUGAUUCCGCUUUAGGACGGGCCUUCGUGGUAUUAGGUAGUUGGUGAGGUAACGGCUCACCAAGCCUACGAUGCCUACCGGGUGUGAGAGCAUGACCCGGCACACUGGAACUGAGACACUGUCCAGACACCUACGGGUGGCUGCAGUCGAGAAUCUUCGGCAAUGGGCGAAAGCCUGACCGAGCGACGCCGCGUGAGGGAUUGAAGGCCUUCGGGUUGUAAACCUCUUUCGUAGAGGAGGAAGGGGCUGUGAAGAACAGUCCUUGACCUAUUCUAGGAAGAAGCUUGGGCUAAGUUCGUGCCAGCAGCCGCGGUAAGACGAACCAAGCGAACGUUAUUCGGAAUUACUGGGCUUAAAGCGCGUGUAGGCGGACUACCACGUUGGUUGUUGAAAUCCCCCGGCUUAACCGGGGAACUGGCACCAAUACGAGUAGUCUGGAGGUGGGUAGGGGAGACUGGAACUUCCGGUGGAGCGGUGAAAUGCGUUGAGAUCGGAAGGAACGCCCGCGGCGAAAGCGAGUCUCUGGACCCAUACUGACGCUGAGACGCGAAAGCCAGGGGAGCAAACGGGAUUAGAUACCCCGGUAGUCCUGGCUGUAAACAUUGGGCACUGGGUAGUGGAACCGCCGAUGGUUUCACUGCCGCAG
Molecule: ribosomal RNA, 803 nt
Filed under: uncultured organism
Description: bacterial SSU rRNA
Rfam family: Bacterial small subunit ribosomal RNA
Source: RNAcentral